RNAcentral lists this long non-coding RNA (227 nucleotides) under Elaeis guineensis (African oil palm). RNAcentral's name for it is "long non-coding RNA (EGUI_LNC042840)". The record is from RNAcentral. Lineage: Eukaryota; Viridiplantae; Streptophyta; Magnoliopsida; Arecales; Arecaceae.
UAGCCGCAUACGUGUCCGACCUCUACAGAUAUCCACAUGAAGUCCUUAUGCUGAUUGAUCUCUCCGAAAGUGCUAGCUCGCGAAGAUACCAUACUUUGGCAGAUCUAAGAGGAACAUGAUGAAGAUGAAGAAUAAGAAGAUCUUCUCUUUUUUUUCUUGGAUCCACACAUCAAAUCUCUACGAUAGAGAUCAAGAAAAGAACUCUUUCUUCUCAAUUCUCCCACGCA